ACCCGUUGAUCCUGCGGGAGGUCGCUACUAUUAGGGUUCGACUAAGCCAUGCAAGUCAGAGGGGCUCUUCGGAGUCACAGGCAAAAUGCUCAGUAACACGUCGUUAAUCUAACCUUAGAUCUGGGAUAACCUUGGAAAACUGAGGCUAAAACUGGAUAUGGGAAAAUAAUUGGAAAAUGUUUUCCUUCAAAAGCAAUGUCUAAGGAUGAGGCGGCGGCGGAUUAGGUUGUUGGCGGGGUAAUGGCCCACCAAGCCGACGAUCCGUAGGGGCCGUGAGAGCGGUAGCCCCGAGAAGGACACUGAGAUACUGGUCCUAGCCCUACGGGGUGCAGCAGGCGCGAAACCUUUACAAUGCACGAAAGUGUGAUAAGGGAACCCUAAGUGCUCAUGUUAUUACAUGGGCUUUUGCCAAGUGUAAAUAACUUGGCGAAUAAGUGGUGGGAAAGACUGGUGCCAGCAGCCGCGGUAACACCAGCGCCACAAGUAGGGACCACAACUAUUGGGCCUAAAGCGUCCGUAGCCGGUCAAAUAAAUCUCUUGUGAAAUUGUUGGGCUCAACCUAACAACGUGCAGGAGACACUAUUUGACUUGGAACCGGGAGAAGUCAGGAGUAUGCUGGGGGGAGCGGUAAAAUGUUAUAAUCCCCGGUAGACUACCAGUGGCGAAGGCGCCUGACUAGAACGGAUUCGACGGUGAGGGACGAAAGCUAGGGGAGCGAAGCGGAUUAGAUACCCGUGUAGUCCUGGCCGUAAACGCUGCGAGCUAGGUGUUGCAUAUUCUCAAUGAAUAUGCAGUAUCGAAGCGAAGGUGUUAAGCUCGCCGCCUGGGAAGUAUGGUCGCAAGGCUGAAACUUAAAGGAAUUGGCGGGGGAGCACUACAAGGGGUGCGGCGUGCGGUUUAAUCUAAUUCAACACAGAGAAUCUCACCAGAAGCGACGGCAGGAUGAAAGUCAGGCUGAAGACCUUACUUGACGAGCCGAGAGGUAGUGCAUUGCCGCCGUCAGCUCGUGCUGUAAAGUGUCCUGUUAAGUCAGGCAACGAGCGAGACCUGCAUCUACAAUUGCUAACGGAUUCAUCAGAAUGACUGAGCACAUUGUAGAGACUGCCCUGGAAACAGGGAGGAAGGUGCAGGCUACGGUAGGUCUGUAUGCUCCGAAUCUUCAGGGCUACACGCGCGCAACAAUGGUAAGGACAAUGGGAUGCGACUCUGAAAAGAGAAGCUAAUCCUCGAAACCUUAUCUAAGUCUAGAUUGAGGAUUGUAACUCAUCCUCAUGACAAUGGAAUCCCUAGUAAUCAGAGUUUAUCAUACUCCGGUGAACAUGUCCCUGCUCCUUGCACACACCGCCCGUCAAGCCACCCGAGUAGGGUUUAGGUGAGUUGUAGAUUUUAUUUGCACCGAACCUAAGCUCAGCGAGGAGGGCUAAGUCGUCACAAGGUA
This 1438-nucleotide ribosomal RNA is filed under the name metagenome. RNAcentral describes it as "bacterial SSU rRNA". It matches the Rfam family "Archaeal small subunit ribosomal RNA". The record is from RNAcentral.